AAUCUGUUUGAUCUGUACCAAUUUUUAAAUUUUAAAUUUUCUGACUGAAUUUAAAAAGAGCUUUUGAAGUCAAUAAUAUUUUCGAUGCCAAAAUGAUAUCUCUAAGUAAAUUUUAUAGGUGCACCUAACCUCUACAGUAUAAGGAGACAACUUCAUACAAACCUCACCUUUUUUUUAAUAUUCUCAAGUUUGACCACCAAAACUCGGGAUACUCGAGCUCGCCACUGUGGUAAGCCCAUCUUACUCCGGCAAGUCUAGGUUGGCUCGCAUGAGUAGUUAGACAUUAUCCUACAAUCUCUCACAUCCAUUGCCGUAAAAAAAUAAUAAGAACUUUAUUUAUCCCUGACAGCAAAAUCUGACCAAAAUACUCUGAAGGAAAAUUGUUUGGUGCAUCAUAGCCCCCACCUAUUGUAAAGCUCCACCAAAAU
This 428-nucleotide long non-coding RNA is filed under the name Amborella trichopoda. RNAcentral's name for it is "long non-coding RNA (ATRI_LNC000285)". Lineage: Eukaryota; Viridiplantae; Streptophyta; Magnoliopsida; Amborellales; Amborellaceae. The record is from RNAcentral.